AAGUCGUAACAAGGUUUCCGUAGGUGAACCUGCGGAAGGAUCAUUCCAAGAUCUCUUGCAAAAGACAUCGCUUGUGUCUCGACUGUGUUUCGCAUCAACGCUUCACACAUUGAUCGUUCAACAACCACAAAACUCAUACAACUGCUGGCAACGGAUCACUCGGCUCUC
This 168-nucleotide unclassified non-coding RNA is filed under the name fungal sp. RNAcentral's name for it is "partial internal transcribed spacer region". The stretch from base 1 to 46 matches the Rfam family "Eukaryotic small subunit ribosomal RNA", at positions 1786 to 1831 of the family's 1831-position model. The record is from RNAcentral. Lineage: Eukaryota; Fungi.